This 72-nucleotide transfer RNA is filed under the name Nanobdellota archaeon. Its description in RNAcentral is "tRNA-Thr". It matches the Rfam family "tRNA". From Rfam's summary of the family: Transfer RNA (tRNA) molecules are approximately 80 nucleotides in length. Their secondary structure includes four short double-helical elements and three loops (D, anti-codon, and T loops). Further hydrogen bonds mediate the characteristic L-shaped molecular structure. tRNAs have two regions of fundamental functional importance: the anti-codon, which is responsible for specific mRNA codon recognition, and the 3' end, to which the tRNAs corresponding amino acid is attached (by aminoacyl-tRNA synthetases). tRNAs cope with the degeneracy of the genetic code in two manners: having more than one tRNA (with a specific anti-codon) for a particular amino acid; and 'wobble' base-pairing, i.e. permitting non-standard base-pairing at the 3rd anti-codon position. The record is from RNAcentral. Lineage: Archaea; Nanobdellati; Nanobdellota.
GCCACUAUAGCUCAGGGAUAGAGCAUCUGCCUUGUAAGCAGAGGGUCGGGGGUUUAAAUCCCUCUAGUGGCU